UUAAGCGACUAAGCGUACACGGUGGAUGCCCUGGCAGUCAGAGGCGAUGAAGGACGUGCUAAUCUGCGAUAAGCGUCGGUGAGGUGAUAUGAACCGUUAUAACCGGCGAUUUCCGAAUGGGGAAACCCAGUGUGAUUCGUCACACUAUCAUUAACUGAAUCCAUAGGUUAAUGAGGCGAACCGGGGGAACUGAAACAUCUAAGUACCCCGAGGAAAAGAAAUCAACCGAGAUUCCCCCAGUAGCGGCGAGCGAACGGGGAGGAGCCCAGAGCCUGAAUCAGUGUGUGUGUUAGUGGAAGCGUCUGGAAAGGCGUGCGAUACAGGGUGACAGCCCCGUACACAAAAAUGCACAUAUUGUGAGCUCGAUGAGUAGGGCGGGACACGUGGUAUCCUGUCUGAAUAUGGGGGGACCAUCCUCCAAGGCUAAAUACUCCUGACUGACCGAUAGUGAACCAGUACCGUGAGGGAAAGGCGAAAAGAACCCCGGCGAGGGGAGUGAAAAAGAACCUGAAACCGUGUACGUACAAGCAGUGGGAGCCUCUUAAUGGGGUGACUGCGUACCUUUUGUAUAAUGGGUCAGCGACUUAUAUUCUGUAGCAAGGUUAACCGAAUAGGGGAGCCGAAGGGAAACCGAGUCUUAACUGGGCGUUAAGUUGCAGGGUAUAGACCCGAAACCCGGUGAUCUAGCCAUGGGCAGGUUGAAGGUUGGGUAACACUAACUGGAGGACCGAACCGACUAAUGUUGAAAAAUUAGCGGAUGACUUGUGGCUGGGGGUGAAAGGCCAAUCAAACCGGGAGAUAGCUGGUUCUCCCCGAAAGCUAUUUAGGUAGCGCCUCGUGAAUUCAUCUCCGGGGGUAGAGCACUGUUUCGGCAAGGGGGUCAUCCCGACUUACCAACCCGAUGCAAACUGCGAAUACCGGAGAAUGUUAUCACGGGAGACACACGGCGGGUGCUAACGUCCGUCGUGAAGAGGGAAACAACCCAGACCGCCAGCUAAGGUCCCAAAGUCAUGGUUAAGUGGGAAACGAUGUGGGAAGGCCCAGACAGCCAGGAUGUUGGCUUAGAAGCAGCCAUCAUUUAAAGAAAGCGUAAUAGCUCACUGGUCGAGUCGGCCUGCGCGGAAGAUGUAACGGGGCUAAACCAUGCACCGAAGCUGCGGCAGCAACACUUAGGUGUUGUUGGGUAGGGGAGCGUUCUGUAAGCCUGCGAAGGUGGACUGUGAGGUCCGCUGGAGGUAUCAGAAGUGCGAAUGCUGACAUAAGUAACGAUAAAGCGGGUGAAAAACCCGCUCGCCGGAAGACCAAGGGUUCCUGUCCAACGUUAAUCGGGGCAGGGUGAGUCGACCCCUAAGGCGAGGCCGAAAGGCGUAGUCGAUGGGAAACAGGUUAAUAUUCCUGUACUUGGUGUUACUGCGAAGGGGGGACGGAGAAGGCUAUGUUGGCCGGGCGACGGUUGUCCCGGUUUAAGCGUGUAGGCUGGUUUUCCAGGCAAAUCCGGAAAAUCAAGGCUGAGGCGUGAUGACGAGGCACUACGGUGCUGAAGCGACAAAUGCCCUGCUUCCAGGAAAAGCCUCUAAGCAUCAGGUAACAUCAAAUCGUACCCCAAACCGACACAGGUGGUCAGGUAGAGAAUACCAAGGCGCUUGAGAGAACUCGGGUGAAGGAACUAGGCAAAAUGGUGCCGUAACUUCGGGAGAAGGCACGCUGAUAUGUAGGUGAAGCGACUUGCUCGUGGAGCUGAAAUCAGUCGAAGAUACCAGCUGGCUGCAACUGUUUAUUAAAAACACAGCACUGUGCAAACACGAAAGUGGACGUAUACGGUGUGACGCCUGCCCGGUGCCGGAAGGUUAAUUGAUGGGGUUAGCGGUAACGCGAAGCUCUUGAUCGAAGCCCCGGUAAACGGCGGCCGUAACUAUAACGGUCCUAAGGUAGCGAAAUUCCUUGUCGGGU
This 1950-nucleotide ribosomal RNA is filed under the name human gut metagenome. RNAcentral describes it as "bacterial LSU rRNA". It matches the Rfam family "Bacterial large subunit ribosomal RNA", at positions 1 to 1977 of the family's 2925-position model. The record is from RNAcentral.